This is a long non-coding RNA of Hevea brasiliensis (rubber tree), 2769 nucleotides long. RefSeq lists it as uncharacterized. The record is from RefSeq and is a predicted model, not a curated record. The transcript has 2 exons. NCBI's taxonomy places the organism in Eukaryota, Viridiplantae, Streptophyta, Magnoliopsida, Malpighiales, Euphorbiaceae.
AUUAAGUAAGUAUAUUAAAUGUGAGUAUACAAAGGCAAAGAAAAAGAAAGAAAAUAAAAAAGUGAUGGAGAGAAAAAGAAAAGAUGCAUAUAAGAUAAAUAAUAAUGUAAUAUUUCUUCUUUUUUAUUCACUUUAUUUAAAUAAAGGGAAAAGAAAGGGGAGAUGGAGAGAAUCCAUAUGUUUCCAAGCACUCCCAGACAAAAUGAGCUUCAGAGAAGAAAAGCAACCUUUGCUUUACGACCCAGAAAAGGAGAUUUCAAACCACUACACCACAAGGGUUAGCUUAGGAAAUUGCGUGGUUAGUAACCCAACCAAAAUCAUUUCUCUCCUCUCUCUUUCUCUCUCUCUCUUUCUCUCUCUCUUUCAUAUCAUGGUGUGAUGGUGUCUAUAUUUAGUUGCAAGCUGGGGUGCAACCACAACCCCACAUCUUUCCUUCUUUCCUUUCACUCUCAAAAUACCACUUAUUAACCCCACAAAAAUUGGCCACCCCAAUUCCUCAAGUUUAGCCGCUGGCUUGCUUGUUUUAUGGCUAUUAAAAAAGGUUUUGUGGGGCUUUGAAACAGCCCUCUAGCUAUUUGAUUAUGACCCAGUUCCUAUUUUCCACAGAUCUCCCUCUCCAUAAAUACCAAUCUCUCCUCCUUUCUCGUUCCCUUCAAUCCUUCCUUAGCUACCUCACUCUUCACCCUCUCUUCUACUUUGCUUCUAACAUGGACCAAACUUAAUCCAUGGAAGCUAGCUUGGCAAUCUAUACUUAUUAUGCACUACUUCAAGUACUUCAUGCUCAUAUACUGUCAUAGCAUCAUCACAUAACAUUGCAUAUAUAAGCAUCACAUACACUAUAAAAGCAUAUAUUUAAAUGUUUAUGUUUGCAUAUGCAUGCUUUAACAUCAGCAUACAUAUAUAUAUUGUAUGUGCCUGGCUCCCUGUAUGCCAUUUGCAGAGCCCACCGGAGAAUCGAUGGCCUCCGUGGAUGGCGUAUGAGGAGCCAUGCAUAUUCUCAUAUAUGUCAUCCAUGGUGUAUUUGCAGGAUUCUUUUUAUUUUCUUUCUUUCUUGCAAGGAAUAUUGGAAUAAGCCUAUUGAUUAUAAUGAAUAGGCAAAGAAGGGCAGCAUUGUAAUUAUGAAAAAAAUCAGGUUCUCUCAUCUCUGGUCUCUAAACCUCUAAAAGCUUUAGCAGGCCAGUUAGAGUUGGAGCAUUGGUAUAUAUGAAGGAACACACAAAUGACGACCCCCACUUGCUCUAGGGCCCUUUGUCUUCGCCUUUGCCUUUGCUUUUUAGUAAAAUCAAAAGCAAAUGGAAUUGAAGAUGAAUAGUAGAAAACGCAAAGGGCAGGGAUUUAUCUCAUCAAGAAACUGUUCCUAAACAUAUGACAUUGUCUUCUUCUUUUCCGUAGAGAGUGGAGUAGUGAGCUCACCCCUGCAUGCCCCAGACAUAAUAAUGCACACACUUUCUUUUCUUUUUUAUUUUCAUUUUCUUUUCUUGGAAGGAUCAAUGCAUUUGCACUUAGGCUUCACAACCACAUAUAACCCAUUAUCCUCAAUUUUUUUUUCUCUAGUCCCACACUACUACAUAAUGGAUCUUAGACAGCUAUGGAAAACUAUUGCUAAAUUAUAGCCAUAAGUCAAUAGCAACGGUUUGAAAACCACUACAUUUGCCUGUAAUAUAAAUUUUUUGCAACGGACAAAAGCACAUGUCUUGAAUAGGUGUAAAUCAUUAUUAUUAUAAUAGUUUUAGCAGCAAUUUCAUUAAAAUUUUAACAUAAUUUAUCAAUUAAUUUAUAACAAUUUUAAACUGUUUCAAAACUGUUGCCUAAACUAUUGUCUUAUAUGUGUAAAGGCAACAGUUUUUUAGUUACUACAAAAAAAAAAAAAAUUGCAGCCUUACUUCAAAUUACACACAUGCUAGCAACCCGUUACCCUAUUUGUUUUUUUGAUCCCAUUAAUUUGUCUAGUACAUAAUUCCAUUAAAAUAGAACUUAAUUAAUUUCUUACAGAGAAAGUAAAGAGCAAGAUCAAUCAGACUAUGAGACUAACACUUUGUGAAAAGCUAGAUCAUCAGACUAUGAGACUAACACUUUGCUUAGACUAUAGAUUAGGUUUAUCUGCACGCAUGAUCAUACGGUGUCAUAACACGUUCUUUCUUUUCUUUUCCUUCCCUGCAAUUCUUGCUUUCUCAAUGGGCAGACACACAAACACACGUCUAGCCAGGGAUUCAAGAAAGAAAGAAAAAAGGUAUGGAUUCUGGGGAAAGUAAAAGUAUGUGCAGCAGCAGGAUUAUGAUUAUAGCUACUGGGGAAUCUCAUACGAAAGAAUGGACAUGGACCCCCCUCCUCUUCCUUUCUCUCUCUUUCUUGAUUGGCCAUUAGGGAAUAUAGUAUACGGUAAAAGCAGGUCAAAAGGACACAUUGACAUUGGUCAGGGUAAUUAAUUAAGGGACCACAAUUGGAGAUCUCCUGAAAUCAAUUGUAGGAUUUUGAACACAAUGCAAAUUCAUUUCUUUAUUUUGUUCAUUCAUUUUUUUUUUUUUGUUUAAUAAACAAAUUAACCAGCCCAUGAGCUCUUAUUUACUAAUCUACAAAGAACAUUCUCCCUGGACUGAUCAGGGAUAAAUAGUGAAAGAAGAAGAUGAUGUUUACUGCCCUGGUGCAGGCCCCACAACUUACUCAAUGUGUUAUGUUGUUACAGGUUGUACCCUGUAGUGUUUCAGAAAGCUGAUUCUAUCCUAUUCUAUCUAAAAUUCAUGUGAUGAAUGGCAAAUUUUAUCCAAAGUA